RNAcentral lists this long non-coding RNA (1462 nucleotides) under Phoenix dactylifera (date palm). RNAcentral's name for it is "long non-coding RNA (PDAC_LNC006935)". The record is from RNAcentral. Lineage: Eukaryota; Viridiplantae; Streptophyta; Magnoliopsida; Arecales; Arecaceae.
GCUUUCAUAAUACCCCACUAGCUCAACAGGAGUUGGAAUCCUUUACAUAAUCUAUAUCAUAGAGAUGCGUACGAUAGAAACUGGUGCUCAUUUGGUAAAUUUUCGCGAUGGGACCUUACUAUAGACUUAGAGGGAGACGGGUUCAAAUCUCAUCGUCACCAAUAUUUGAAAGGUUAGGGUAUUUCUAAGAGGGCUACCUUCUUUUUGGGAGUUUUUUUUGUCCAUUUAGCCUUCUUCCGUAUGAGUUAGAAUGCACGGGGUCAUGCACAUAUUUUUAAUAAAAGAUUAUUUACGAAUAAAGAGUUAAUAAGAUAUAAAUUCCAUGGUUAGGAUAAAGUUUUAUGGCCUUCAAAGACUUCUUUAGUCUUUUAGCCAUCACACUCGUAAAAUGUUAGAAUUAAAUGCACCUGACCAAAUCUUAUCCCCCUUGUUCUUUUCUUCCGUUCAUUUUUUAUUCAUCUCUUAUCCACAAUAAGGCAGUUACCAGGUACCCAACACCACUUCAACUUCAACAGGGACCUUAACCUGUUUGACAGCGCCUCAAGUUAUUAGUCCCCCUUUUCCUUGGAAUGAUAAUUCAAUGGUUUUUCCUUCGCCCAUUUACGAGUCACGGAAAAUAAAAAGGGCAAUCUUCAAAUAUUCUCCGCACCAUUUCCUACUGCAGCAGGUUGCUGCACGCCAACCCCACUAGAAAAGGAACCUUGCAUUUGAUAGGUUGAAAUAUAGAACCCACUUGAAGUGCCAUUCGAACAUCUGAAACAUGGUUGACUUGAUGAUAAUUUAGAUAAUGAAAUAUUGUAAUAUUAGUUAUGAUCAGGCAAAUCUAAAUUGGGCAGACAAAUACCCACUUUAAUAACAAUACAGCAGGCCGAGCUUCUUGUCAGGGAAAAGAGAGAAAAGAGAACUGAUACAGUAACAUAAAGAUGAGCAAGAACAAGAAGAGAAAAAGAAUCAGAAGGACAUAAUAACAAUAGAGAGAAGCUGGAUGUCCACAAAGGUCCCCUUAACAUAUUGUGAGCCAUCUGAAAACCAAUUAUAGCACAGGCCUCACAUCUUGCCACGAGGGUACAAACCAGACAGGCCGUGCUUCAUAAAGCAUGCAUAGAGUUUUUCCUUAGAUAUGCUUGCAAAUAUAGCAUUUUACCUUACGAAUAAUUUACCAACUUUGCUUCAUCUAGUGAUAUAAUGCAAGUAUAGGAUGAGCAAAAGGAUGACACUGACAUGCAGUUUAAAAUCAUCAAGUUUCUUUCAAAAUCCGAAGUAUUAUAGAAGCAAGGCUGAGCAAAAUGAAAGCUAUAAAAAUUAAAUUAUCACUCGUACAAGUAGCUUACAGGCACUGUACAUAUCAAAGGCAGAUGAGAACGUUUCAAUAACCAUAUGCAGUAUACAGUUAUCAGCAUAUAGACCUAGGCAAAGUCAGACACCUUACAAUGAUGAUAUCCAGUUCCCAAAUAUCAUAUGA